UGUGUCACAAACCAACGGUUUGGCACAUACGGACAUUGAAAUAUUGGCAACAGCCCGAGGAGCCGGAAGUCUUUAUCCUGUUGCCUACUGACAAAUGUUUACAGUUUACCAAUAGUUUCACAUAAAUAGUACUAUUUCCUCAUAGUACAGUGCAAUGUGAUGUCCGAAAUGUCUGACAAAAUUAGGUAAUAACACGAAAUAUAUGCAAGGCAAUAUAAGGUAUAUGUAUAGCUUGGAAAUUGUGACCGUUGCUCGCUCGCUCCG
This 264-nucleotide unclassified non-coding RNA is filed under the name Bombus terrestris (buff-tailed bumblebee). Its description in RNAcentral is "misc RNA ENSBTSG00005025173.1". The record is from RNAcentral. Lineage: Eukaryota; Metazoa; Arthropoda; Insecta; Hymenoptera; Apidae.